This 398-nucleotide ribosomal RNA is filed under the name uncultured bacterium. RNAcentral describes it as "bacterial SSU rRNA". It matches the Rfam family "Bacterial small subunit ribosomal RNA", at positions 28 to 429 of the family's 1533-position model. The record is from RNAcentral.
GACGAACGCUGGCGGCGUGCUUAACACAUGCAAGUCGAGCGGUAAGGCCCUUUCGGGGGUACACGAGCGGCGAACGGGUGAGUAACACGUGGGUGACCUGCCCUCAGCUCUGGGAUAAGCCUGGGAAACUGGGUCUAAUACUGGAUAUGACUCCACGGUGCAUGUCGUGGGGUGGAAAGCCUUGUGCGGCUGAGGAUGGGCCCGCGGCCUAUCAGCUUGUUGGUGGGGUGANGGCCUACCAAGGCGACGACGGGUAGCCGGCCUGAGAGGGCGACCGGCCACACUGGGACUGAGACACGGCCCAGACUCCUACGGGAGGCAGCAGUGGGGAAUCCUGCGCAAUGGGCGAAAGCCUGACGCAGCGACGCCGCGUGAGGGAUGACGGCCUCGGUUGUAAC